Cyprinus carpio carpio is the source of this 1326-nucleotide long non-coding RNA. The record is from Ensembl. NCBI's taxonomy places the organism in Eukaryota, Metazoa, Chordata, Actinopteri, Cypriniformes, Cyprinidae.
CAAAUCGUGACCAAUACAAAUUUGUAAUGGAAACCUAUACAAACCAAUAAAUCCUAAUGGAAUAUGCCCAAAACACACUACGUAAUGGAAACCAUUUGGUAAUGGUUUUAAUGGUUAAUGGCUGAUGGUUUGUAAUGGUUUUGUAAUGGAAACCAUUAGAAUUUCUGUAAUGGUUUCUAUUGUUUUUUUCAGCAGGGUUAUCAUCCAUAUUACAACGUUAUUGCUUCGUUGGACUAAACGUGCUCCAUGAGAUGUCGUUCAGUGGACCCUUACCUUCCUAACUAAACCAGGAUUUACAGCUGUGGAUGUGUUUAUGACUCAUUAUUACAACGAAUCUGGAAUUAUGGACAAGCAUUUUUAUCAAGAGAACAUCAUAAAAUCUAAUUUGGCGCCGUACAUAAGACAACACUUUAAAGGAUCUCAUCGUUUCUUCCAAGGUAAAUUUUUACGAACUGUGUUGUGAUCUUUUCUGAUUUUAAUUACUGAAAGUUGAAUAAGCAUUUAAUGUUUAUUAUUAUUAUUAUUAUUAUAAAUUUUUUUUUUUUUUUUAACAGACAAUGACCCGAAACAUACAGCCGCGAGGCAGUAUAUUGCUGAGGAGGGGAUCAACUGGGUGAAAACACCAGCUGAGUAUGUUUGUGUCUGUCCAUUUUUUUAUUUUUUAUUUUUUUAUUCUGGUUUACGAAAUGUACAUUUGACAAAAUCGCCCAACUUGUCAUUUUGUUUUCGCAUGCAGAUCACCAGAUCUUAAUCCAAUCGAGCUGGUGUGUGGCACGCAAUGAAGGAAUUCAUCAGACGUCAGGUCAAGCCAAGAAAUAAAGACGAGCUUCUUGAGGCCAUUGUAACUUUUUGGUGAAAUUGCUAGACAAAAACUGUCUGCAACAGAUACAUUGACCACCUUCAGAAGGUUUUGCAACGGAUGCGCUACUGGAAUGUAACAAAUUGAUUGUAAUUUUGUAAAUUUAUCGUAAACUUGCUAUUAUUUAUUAAACCUUAGACUAACAAUAAUCUGCUGUCUCUUAUUUCUAAGCAUCACAAAGAAUGAUAAAACAUAAACGUCGGCCAACAUUGCUUAAGAGCAAAUAUUGAUAAAUAAAAUAAAUAAAUAAAUAAAAAAAAAAAAAAUCUUUUAAAAGAAGAAAUUUCAAGCUUUCUGUAGAUAUAUUUCUCAUGAAUGUGAGGCACCCCAAUUUUAAGUUAUUUCAUUAUCAGGAAAAAAAUUUAGUGAUCAUGGGGACGCCUCCCUGUCAUGCAUGUACAUUAAUAAUUUUCCACACAAACACUUGAAUAUGAGCACAUUUCUUUUAGGUUACAGUAUGGGAUCCG